AUCAAUAAAGUGGGGAAGAACCAUGAGUCUUAGGUUCAAAACCAAGCAGAAACAAAAAGACUCUAGGUGAUUUUUUCCUAUCUACCCAAGCCCACUACUAGUGCAGGUAAGAGAAUAAGUACCUGGUGGGAUUAGUCGAGAUGCAUAGAAAGCUGGCCCAGAUCACCAUCGACGAAAAAAUAAAUAAAUUGAAGACUAAAGAAACAACUUUAGGCAAAG
RNAcentral lists this unclassified non-coding RNA (219 nucleotides) under Hevea brasiliensis (rubber tree). The record is from RNAcentral. Lineage: Eukaryota; Viridiplantae; Streptophyta; Magnoliopsida; Malpighiales; Euphorbiaceae.